CGGUUGGUAUUGAGGGUGUCAUAUUGUAACUUUGCUAAAAAGUACCAGCGUCUUUACUUUUUCUUAAUAUAUUUUUCUCUCUCUUUUUUUUUUUUUUGAAAGAAAUAUCUACAUAGUUAUGUUAUGUUAUGUAUUGGGGAAGGAUCUAAUGAUGGGCAAAUGGUUGAAGUUUGAGGACUUGUUUACUUCACCUUUUGUUACAAGAAAGAGUCACGAGUCGAGUUAGUGGGAAGAAAAGGAUGGAUUCUGUGCUGAGAAUAAGCAUUUUGUUUUUUAUAAAAGAAAAUAGCUUAAUUACGAUUAGGUGGGAUCAGGUACCUUAAUCAAAUAUCAUAUGGGGAAAUCUUUCUUUUUUCUUUUUUCUUUUUUCUUCUUUCUUUUUUCUAUCUCUUGACUUGAGUUGAUUCUUAAGUCUAGUUAGUCUUAACCUAUUUAGUUGCCAUUCAUUUCAUUUAUACCAAAAUAUAUAUUACGAAGGGAAAAGACCUCUAAGUCCCCAACUAAUAAACUGUCCGUUUGUUUAAUCAUUCUACCAUUUAUAUCCUCCCUGUGCCAUUGCCUCUAAUUAUUUACAACACUUCUCAAAGGAUACAAUUACAAACCUAUGCCCUCUCUCUCUCUCUCUCUCUCUCUCAUUACCUGAAAAUAAAGAAGAAAACGUUGCAGCUACUCCUUUAAAUAUAAAGUGGACCAGAAGAGAAUUGCGAGGUAUUGAUGUGGGUGAAACUAGUGAGAAGAGAAUAGUAGAUAAUCAUCAGCUACUUUGGAGAGCUGAAACAUAUUAUUAUAUACUAUUCAUCACCCUUUCCCAUAUCCGAAGCGACCAUCAAGAUGCUUUUAUUUCAAAGUCUUUAUCUAGUUAGAAUCCCUACGGACAUAACCUAACAGCUCAAAAGACCAUAUCCCUUUCUUUACUCUUUACUCCUCAUUUGAUUAACAACACCCAAAAUAAAAGAAAGGUGAAAAAGAAAAAGAAAAAUAGAGUAACCCACAAUCGCCUCUUCCAAUUUCCCUCUAGUAACUUUUUUAUUUUGUUUUUUCAAUGGUUUUUUUCCCUUGACUUUUCUCCCUUCUAGCUAGUACCACUACCAUUAUUAAGCCUUUAAAAGAAGGAAAAAAGAAAGGAAAAGAAAAGGAAGACUUCAUAUCUCUAUUAUCACCAGCUUUCACAUAAGCAAGAAAAAUCCCACAUCGGAAAGAGUGGAUCAGGUUACAAUAUUGAAUCCUUUCAGCUUCACACGAUUGAGAAUGAACCCCCUCCUCUCUAUCUCAUUCGUUGUUCGAUUUGGCGCUGAAAAUCUAUGGAAUAAUCAAUUCUCAAGCCAUUUUUCCUAACUCCAAACAGUCAAAUCCAUAAAGGGUAGUCGGAAAAUUUCCCUCCAAAAAGUGUUUGUUUGGUGCUUGUGAGAAAGUAGUAAAACUCCAAUAUACUACUGCUACUACUACUACUUCUUACCAAUGGUGUCUCUUCAUCAUCACUACAAUCAUCACCGUCCGUACCGCCUAGUGCUUCUUGACAGUACAGAGUCAAACUCACCUCCACCGGCGGCAGCAGCAGCCAAUGAAAACAGAGGAAAUCUCACACGCGGGUCAUCAUACGUGAGUGAAGCCAACUUCGACACUAACAUGGUGAUCAUACUAGCGGCGUUGCUCUGCGCUCUGAUAUGCGCUUUGGGACUAAACUCCAUCGUACGUUGCGCUAUGCGGUGCAGCCGAAGGUUCGCUUUCGAGACGGCGGACGAAGCCGCGGCACGCCUGGCUGCCACGGGGCUGAAAAAGAGCGCAUUGCGUAAGAUCCCCGUGGCUGCAUAUGGCAUUUCUUCCGGGAUCAAAAUCAUUGAUACGGAUUGUACUAUUUGCCUCGGGGAGUUUGAGACGGGUGACAAAGUUAGAGUGUUGCCUAAAUGUUGUCAUGGUUUUCAUGUCCGGUGCAUAGAUCCAUGGUUGGUUUCCCACUCUUCAUGCCCGACUUGCAGGCGGUCCUUGCUCGAACAGCCAGCUAGUUCGGACGCCGCCCCUGCCACCGAAGCAGAUGUGGGAAUUCGACAUAAUGGGAAUGGAGCAGGGCCCGGAGUUGGACACGGUGAGGUGACAAUUAAUGUUGAUGAGGUUAGCUAAUGAUGGAUGAUAAGUAAAAUGGGGACACAAAGGCAGAACUAGUUUAUUGCUGUGUUCUUUUUUCUUUGUUAUUGGCCUAGGCUGCAGUCAAUGAAACAAGGCUAAUCUUACAAGCGGGCCAUGCUCUUGAGCGAAGGGAUUCUGCAUCAUUGAUCGGAAUGCUGCAACAGGGUCCAGAGAGGAGGACAAGUUGAGUUCUGUUUGAGAACUUCUGAAGUAAUACGAUGUACAUUUAACACACUCACGGAGAAGAAGAAAAGGAAAUAGAAGAGCGUUGAGUUCAAUAAUAUUUGCUGGAGUGAGUAGUGUAAAUGUAGUUUUGAGUAAAAUCAUAGGGUUCGUCUGUUGAUAGACUCAUUAGAAUGAAGAAUAAGAAGAGCCCACCUACUAAAGUAGUAUGUUCUUUUUUAUUAUCUUGCUCAUUUUAUGUUCCUUACAAAAAUAUGAUUAUUGUGUGUUUCAGCAA
Cannabis sativa is the source of this 2584-nucleotide RNA transcript. It is a transcript of the gene named RING-H2 finger protein ATL74-like, with no coding region annotated. The record is from RefSeq and is a predicted model, not a curated record. The transcript is spliced from 3 exons. Lineage: Eukaryota; Viridiplantae; Streptophyta; Magnoliopsida; Rosales; Cannabaceae.